AGGAUUUUAACUAAAAUGAUCUUUUCUGAAUACUGGCAGGCCAAAUUAUUAUUUUUGUUGUUGUUCUUGCUGCCGAUCUGUUAGAACAUUGCUGUCCUAAAGUGAAUGGAUUUGUAACCUGAAACCUGCCAGGAACCUGGUACUUAACCCGAAGCCGUCAAUCAUUCAGCUAAAUGGCUGUUUGUGUACGUAGCUAAUCCGUUCUACAGACUAUUACGUUGUAGUGCAAUAUCACGUUGUGCCGUACGAUGGCGCAGAACCCUCAAAUUUGUCUCCAAGAGGAUUGCUUAAAAAAAAAAAACAGAUACGUGCAGAAAUCUGGCUGUAUGAGAAACGUGGGCGUUUGUUGUGCUGAGCUCAUUUUUUAAAACGUGAAACAGUGCCUCGUGUGUUUCAAAAAAAUAAUGGGAUAUUCGUUUAAUUUAAUUUAGUGAUCUGAAAUGAACGGUUAUUUAUGACAUUGACGCGUAUACAACGAAAAUAAUGGCGACCCUGCAAUUCAUUCGGGAAGCUUGUGCGGCGAUUAAAAACCGAUGGGCUGCGCGUGCGAUGCUGGCGAAUGGCUGGCACGCGCCCGACGGACACGUAACGCACGUCUGAGCAGCAGUUGUGUUGAUGUAUGAGCAGCAUGUCACUGUAUACAAAAUCUCCAUUUGUUUGUAUUAAAUUUACGGAAACCGUAAUAUCACCGUGUGGUGAGAAAAACAGCUCAGCGGGUCAAAACAGAUCCAAAAGCACCCCCACUCCCUCGAGGGUGAAGAUAUAGGCAAAUUCUGCGCAUCCUGCCGCCGCAGAUGUUGCCGCAUGUUGGAUGGAGCCUGCAGUACUGCAGUAGGACACUGACACAUGCAGUGACCUUUCCCCAUUCGAGCCAGCCGCCCAGACCGCUGACGGACCCAGGACCACAGCCAUCCCCGGAGAUCCAUCGGCCAUGAGACGCAAGCGAGGCCCAAGCGAUUAGCAGACCUCAGGGCCCGGUGGACGAGGCAUGUCUGUGUGUCGGAGGAGAGCCACUUAGCAGUGUUAAAUGAAAAAUUCAGCGCGAGUAUCCCAGUGAAAGGAGUGUCUCGUUAAAUGGGCAAACCGAGGAUGGAAAACAAACUAAAGCCCUCACACAUCACGGAAGAGGAAUGUCCAAGACAGAUUGGAGUCCCAUCCAGGUUCUUUCACUGCCUUGUUCUUCAGACUUCCUGGGUGAACCCCCAAGUUCAUUGCAACACUAUAGUAGGCCUGCCAGUGGUCCGGGUUUCUUGGCUCUGGAGCGUCCUCAGUGGUUGAGCUGCAGCUCUAGGCGAGCUCCAGAGUUGCGAGAGAUCUUCCCUUCCAGCUCCAGGCCUCCUCCAGGGGUUCCCUGUGCCCCGCAGAUCAGUUCGGCAUCGCAGAGACAGCAAGUUCUCCUCAGAGAAGUACAGUAUGGAUGCACAAUGUUCAAUUCACAAUUCACAACAGGGUGGAUUUGCAAUGAUCAACAUUUCAGGGUAAAAAUGUUGUCCGAGGUCAUGAAGAUGACACAGCUAAUGUAAUGGAUAAAACACAUAUUCCAUUUUGAGGAGGGCAGUUCUAACACAGUUAUCCAAAAAAGACAAUAGAUCUAUAAUUUUCAAUUCUCUAUCUUGGGAAAGUGCAGCUCUGCUCACACAACUGCUUUGUGGAAGGUGUGAUGGAUCUCGGAUUCGCUGCUCAUCGGUGACGCCUGUGAUCACACGCGUGCGGAGGGGAGCCGUGUUUGCUCACCACUCCGCGUCUUCAUCGAUCUGGAGCUCUGACUCUGACACCCGAGUCUCUGCAGAGUAGAGUCACAGAUCGACCUACAGAAGUCAAUCCUCAUGUCUUUAAUGUAAAGUCCUUCAUUAUUGAGCUGCAGCUUUUAAUUCCUUUAGAGACACAGAAUAAUGUGUGAGUAUAAACCAGCCUCUUAUUUAUACUUUAUAGCUGUGAUCCCUUUAUUAUGAUUUUUGCACACUUUCGUGCCACUUUUUGGCCAGACCUGGUGUUUUUUUCGUACCAUUUGUUGUCUGAACAGCAUAUCCAUUACAACAGGUAUUGGUGGUUCAUGAUUGUUUUAUCCUGAAGGUAUGUUUGGUGUUUUUGUUGCAUGUGCUUGUCGAUGUGUAGAUUUGCUGAGCGUGUAGCAUGGAAAUAUGACUGGUGGCAGUCAGGAACUACCUCAGUCAUCUCCUUCCAAGGAUGGAAAUGGCCUUGAGCAGACUGCUGACGGUGUAGAAGGAAUGCUGUCUUAAUGGUUGCCAUAGUCGUGGAAAUUCAUUAAAUAUGUCAUCUCUCCUUCCAUCAAUCCAUCGUUUAUAAGCACUGGUCCAGUACAGGCAGACAGAGAGCUUGGAGCCUGAUCCAGGAAAUACAGGAUGGGUUGCCAGUCCAUCACGGGGAACUUCAGUAUAUGAUGUUAAUUAAUAAUAAUUGAAUUCUCAUCAUUUUACCCACAGCUUUUUCUAGAACGAGGAUACAUUCACUAGAAAUGUCAAAAGCCACAUUUCUAAGCAUUGUGCUUAAGAUAUUAACCUCCGUUGAUUUGAUAUGACUAUGAUUUUCAUCAUAAUGCUCAUCUCCAUCAUUACCCUUCCUGUUGUUAACAUAGUAAACUACCCUGUUAUCGAUUUCACAAUCGUGCGUUAGUGCUUAUGCUAUAAGUUCAUAUCAGUGAUUUAUAAUCUCAAUAUUCAGCCUCUGUCAACUGUGCAGCUCAUAUACAGCUUGGGGACUGUGGAUAGAUAAUGUCGGUCUGGAUAGUUGGCCCAGGCUGUUGGGUAAGAUGGGCGUCAUGAUGAGGCCUUCACCCAUGGAGGACAGCUUCCCACUGGAUCGCCCUCAUGACCCAACAGUAGGCGGCCUUCACCCAUGGAGGACAGCUUCCCACUGGAUCGCCCUCGUGACCCAACGGCGGGCGGCCUUCACCCAUGGAGGACAGCUUCCCACUGGAUCGCCCUCGUGACCCAACGGCGGGCGCCAAGCAUAACGACGGAAAGAAGGGCGAUCCCCACUCCUCUUCAUUUUCCUCCUUGCAUUGUGAACCUUCGGACUCGCAAACGCAGCUGCGAUCACACACGCUGGAAACUCUAAGCGGGGGUGAACACUGGACCGCAAUGUGAAUUGCAGUCCGGAGACUUCCGAGCAGGGAAUCCUAAGUUUCCUCGGCAGCCAUUCCCACAGUUGACGGAACAAUCCCAGGCAGGAGUGAGAUUAGGAUUAUGCUGAAUGUGACAAGCAAGAUCCCAGGACAGCUCCAACUGAAUGGUAUAUUUACGGAAGGUUGCAGUUUGUUUUGUAAUCUGUUAGCGGCUCAGGGGGUGAGGUUAUGUGGAUGACAUUGCAGCAAAACUAAUCUUUGAACUCAGGAGGCACAGAUAUUCCACUUAGACCUCCCUUGGCAUCCUAAAAACCCUUAGCUGUUCGUCAUUAGUUUGGCCAAGAUACAGUUCAGGCUUCCAGCCAACCGAUGAAAAGAAAUGAAAAGAAAAUCACCCCAUUAAGUACCGGGAACCAAUGUGUGGCGAGUGGAAAUACGAUAACUACCUCGGAUUUGCGCUGCUGAAAGUUUAUGUGGGAGACGAGAGAGCUGCCAACUGAGUGCUACAUCGUCUGCUGUUUUUUUCUCCCUUGCCACCUUUUGUGUGAUAUAUUGUAAGAUGCGUUUCCCUCCCUUCCCUCCCAGCUGCAAAAAUAUUUUCUCUGUCAAACAUCUGCGGUAGGAAUGUGGGGACAGGGGGAGCAGACUU
Paramormyrops kingsleyae is the source of this 3734-nucleotide long non-coding RNA. RefSeq lists it as uncharacterized. Lineage: Eukaryota; Metazoa; Chordata; Actinopteri; Osteoglossiformes; Mormyridae. The record is from RefSeq and is a predicted model, not a curated record.